CAGGCAAGGCAAGAUGAUGAGAUGCUUUAGAGGCAAGAAGGAUGAGAUUGAGAGAGAGACAGCAGUCAUGAGAAAUGGAGGAAUGUUGUUAGAAAAGUCGAUAGCCCUCAAUAAUGGCAGAGGCAAUCCUAUCCGUUCAUUUUCUAUCCAAGAGCUUAACAAUGCAACAAAUAACUAUGAUUCAAAUCAAAGGUUUGCAAUGCUGCGAACAAGCAAAAUGUAUAAGGGUUUUCUGCAAGACCGCCCGGUAAUCGUGAAAAAGUAUGCAAAUAAUGAAAAUUUCUUGGAGGAAUCUAUCAAUGAGAUAGUGUUUGCAUCACAAAUGAGUGCGCAUGAAAAUGUUCUCAAACUCUUAGGUUGCUGCUUGGAGUCCCCA
This 376-nucleotide unclassified non-coding RNA is filed under the name Hevea brasiliensis (rubber tree). The record is from RNAcentral. Lineage: Eukaryota; Viridiplantae; Streptophyta; Magnoliopsida; Malpighiales; Euphorbiaceae.